UGGGGAAUAUUGGACAAUGGGGGCAACCCUGAUCCAGCCAUGCCGCGUGUGUGAAGAAGGUCUUCGGAUUGUAAAGCACUUUUAGUUGUGAGGAAGGAUACGUGUAACGAACGUAUUUUGACGUUAGCAACAGAAAAAGCACCGGCUAACUUCGUGCCAGCAGCCGCGGUAAUACGAAGGGUGCAAGCGUUAAUCGGAAUAACUGGGCGUAAAGCGCGCGUAGGUGGUUACUCAAGUUGGAUGUGAAAUCCCCGGGCUCAACCUGGGAACUGCAUCCAAAACUGAUUGACUAGAGUAUAGUAGAGGUUAGUGGAAUUUCCUGUGUAGCGGUGAAAUGCGUAGAUAUAGGAAGGAACACCAGUGGCGAAGGCGACUAACUGGACUAAUACUGACACUGAGGUGCGAAAGCGUGGGGAGCAAACA
This 423-nucleotide ribosomal RNA is filed under the name uncultured bacterium. Its description in RNAcentral is "bacterial SSU rRNA". It matches the Rfam family "Bacterial small subunit ribosomal RNA", at positions 355 to 774 of the family's 1533-position model. The record is from RNAcentral.